AUCUGGCUGCUUUGCGGUCCGAGUUGUAGUCUCGAGAAGUGGUUUCCGCGCUGGCACCUGUAUGAGUCUGUUGGAACACGGCGUCAUAGAGGGUGAGAACCCCGUUCGUGACCCGUCUACCACUGCUUUGUGAUCACUUUCGAUGAGUCGAGUUGUUUGGGAAUGCACCUCAAAUGGGGGGGUAAUUUCCAUCUAAGGCUAAUUAUGGGCGAAAAACCGAUGCCAAACAAUUACCGUGUGGGAAAAAUGAAAACCACUUUGAAAAAAAAGUUAACAGUACGUGAAAUUGUUGAAAGGGAAACGCUGGAAAUCAGACCUGCGCGGAAGUCAUACCACUGUGGGCCAGCUGCGGUUUCCAGAGCCGGAUAAAGGUUAAGGGAAGG
RNAcentral lists this ribosomal RNA (383 nucleotides) under Cyphobasidium hypotrachynicola. Its description in RNAcentral is "Cyphobasidium sp. AMM-2022c partial large subunit ribosomal RNA". It matches the Rfam family "Eukaryotic large subunit ribosomal RNA", at positions 120 to 482 of the family's 3401-position model. The record is from RNAcentral. Lineage: Eukaryota; Fungi; Basidiomycota; Cystobasidiomycetes; Cyphobasidiales; Cyphobasidiaceae.